This 407-nucleotide ribosomal RNA is filed under the name uncultured bacterium. Its description in RNAcentral is "partial 16S ribosomal RNA". It matches the Rfam family "Bacterial small subunit ribosomal RNA", at positions 355 to 774 of the family's 1533-position model. The record is from RNAcentral.
UGGGGAAUAUUGCACAAUGGGCGAAAGCCUGAUGCAGCAACGCCGCGUGAGGGAUGACGGCCUUCGGGUUGUAAACCUCUUUUAGUAGGGAAGAAGCGAAAGUGACGGUACCUGCAGAAAAAGCACCGGCUAACUACGUGCCAGCAGCCGCGGUAAUACGUAGGGUGCAAGCGUUGUCCGGAAUUAUUGGGCGUAAAGAGCUCGUAGGCGGUUUGUCGCGUCUGCUGUGAAAUCCCGAGGCUCAACCUCGGGUCUGCAGUGGGUACGGGCAGACUAAAGUGUGGUAGGGGAGAUUGGAAUUCCUGGUGUAGCGGUGGAAUGCGCAGAUAUCAGGAGGAACACCGAUGGCGAAGGCAGAUCUCUGGGCCAUUACUGACGCUGAGGAGCGAAAGCAUGGGGAGCGAACA